AACUACCUAAAAGAGGCAUAAAAACGUGCUUACCGUGGUGACGGACCUGCUCGUUUAGCUCCUGUGCCGUGCCUAGCCGAAAAGCUGCGCACAUGACCACACGACCCGGCUAAUAUCCGUGCCGGCCCGUUUACAGCCGUGCCGCCGGCCCGUUUGGCCUCCUACCCACUCCCACCGUACUUCUCUACUCAACAGCUCAAAACACAAAAGAUCUCAUAAAACUAGUAGUAUGAAAGAGAAGAAGAGAAUAAUGAAUAUACUGUAAGUAAAAUUCCUCUUCCCCUCGCCGCCGCCUGCCGCCGCCGUUGAAGCUGAAGGGAAGAGGAGGGGGAGGACGACAACCGGGCGCCCUGCUGCCUCCGGCACGAGCUGCGGCCUGCUGCUGCCGGUACACAGCCUCGUGUGCUAACCACCGCCCCGGAGGCGGUUCUUGAGUUUUGGUCGCUGGUUGGGCGGUGGCGGCGCUGCGGCUAGCUGGUUGCUGGGAGAGAGAUGGCGCCAGUGAGGAGGAAGCGCGGCGCAUCCGCGGCUGCCGCAGCGGCGGCGGCCGCAGCGCAGUGGAAGGCCGGCGACCUGGUGCUCGCCAAGAUGAAGGGCUUCCCCGCAUGGCCAGCCAUGGAAUAUUGGUUUUGGUUAUCUUCAAUAUUUUUUUUUUGGGACAUAAUCUUGUCCAAAGUUCUUGUUCAGUUAAUGAAUUCACUGAGCUGUAAUAAGUGCGUGAUGCAUAUGUUAUUUUU
Molecule: long non-coding RNA, 737 nt
Organism: Hordeum vulgare subsp. vulgare (domesticated barley)
Lineage: Eukaryota; Viridiplantae; Streptophyta; Magnoliopsida; Poales; Poaceae
Exons: 2
Source: RefSeq, a predicted model, not a curated record